This 140-nucleotide small RNA is filed under the name Klebsiella pneumoniae. RNAcentral's name for it is "partial RtT sRNA". It matches the Rfam family "RtT RNA", at positions 15 to 130 of the family's 130-position model. Rfam says of the family: This family represents a bacterial cis-regulatory element known as RtT RNA. The exact function of RtT is unknown although it is thought that it may be involved in changing the cellular response in relation to amino acid starvation. Lineage: Bacteria; Pseudomonadati; Pseudomonadota; Gammaproteobacteria; Enterobacterales; Enterobacteriaceae. The record is from RNAcentral.
GGGAAGGAUGAGAAGCUUCGACUAAGGUUCGACUAAGGUUCGACUAAGGUUCGACUCGAGCGAAGCGAGAGAACGUUGCCGCAGGCAACGGCCCGAAGGGCGAAGCGCUUUAGCGCCGAGUAAUCCUUCCCCCACCACUG